RNAcentral lists this ribosomal RNA (552 nucleotides) under Salmonella enterica subsp. enterica serovar Taksony. Its description in RNAcentral is "bacterial SSU rRNA". It matches the Rfam family "Bacterial small subunit ribosomal RNA", at positions 993 to 1533 of the family's 1533-position model. Lineage: Bacteria; Pseudomonadati; Pseudomonadota; Gammaproteobacteria; Enterobacterales; Enterobacteriaceae. The record is from RNAcentral.
GAAGUUUUCAGAGAUGAGAAUGUGCCUUCGGGAACCGUGAGACAGGUGCUGCAUGGCUGUCGUCAGCUCGUGUUGUGAAAUGUUGGGUUAAGUCCCGCAACGAGCGCAACCCUUAUCCUUUGUUGCCAGCGGUCCGGCCGGGAACUCAAAGGAGACUGCCAGUGAUAAACUGGAGGAAGGUGGGGAUGACGUCAAGUCAUCAUGGCCCUUACGACCAGGGCUACACACGUGCUACAAUGGCGCAUACAAAGAGAAGCGAUCUCGCGAGAGCAAGCGGACCUCAUAAAGUGCGUCGUAGUCCGGAUUGGAGUCUGCAACUCGACUCCAUGAAGUCGGAAUCGCUAGUAAUCGUGGAUCAGAAUGCCACGGUGAAUACGUUCCCGGGCCUUGUACACACCGCCCGUCACACCAUGGGAGUGGGUUGCAAAAGAAGUAGGUAGCUUAACCUUCGGGAGGGCGCUUACCACUUUGUGAUUCAUGACUGGGGUGAAGUCGUAACAAGGUAACCGUAGGGGAACCUGCGGUUGGAUCACCUCCUUACCUUAAAGAAGC